CCUACGGGUGACUGCAGUGAGGAAUAUUGGUCAAUGGGCGGGAGCCUGAACCAGCCAAGUAGCGUGAAGGAUGACUGCCCUACGGGUCGUAAACUUCUUUUAUAAAGGAAUAAAGUGCAGUACGUGUCCUGUUUUGUAUGUACUUUAUGAAUAAGGAUCGGCUAACUCCGUGCCAGCAGCCGCGGUAAUACGGAGGAUCCGAGCGUUAUCCGGAUUUAUUGGGUUUAAAGGGAGCGUAGGUGGAAUGUUAAGUCAGUUGUGAAAGUUUGCGGCUCAACCGUAGAAUUGCAGUUGAUACUGUCAGUCUUGAGUACAGUAGAGGUGGGCGGAAUGCGUGGUGUAGCGGUGAAAUGCUUAGAUAUCACGAAGAACUCCGAUUGCGAAGGCAGCUUACUGGACUGCAACUGACACUGAUGCUCGAAAGUGUGGGUAUCAAACAGGAUUAGAUACCCUAGUAGUC
RNAcentral lists this ribosomal RNA (460 nucleotides) under uncultured bacterium. Its description in RNAcentral is "partial 16S ribosomal RNA". It matches the Rfam family "Bacterial small subunit ribosomal RNA", at positions 338 to 795 of the family's 1533-position model. The record is from RNAcentral.